GAUGAAGAACGUAGCGAAAUGCGAUACUUGGUGUGAAUUGCAGAAUCCCGUGAACCAUCGAGUCUUUGAACGCAAGUUGCGCCCGAAGCCAUCAGGUUGAGGGCACGUCUGCCUGGGCGUCACUUAUCGUUGCCCAAUGCCUAUUGCAGUGCAAUAGGAAUUUCUAGGGCGAAUGAUGGCUUCCCGUGAGCGUUGUUGCCUCGCGGUUGGUUGAAAAUCGAGUCCUUGGUAGGGUGUGCCAUGGUAGAUGGUGGUCGAGUUAGAACGAUACCGAUCAUGUGCAUGCUCCCCAAAAUAUGGCCUCUAUAACCCACACGCGUCUUUUGACGCUCAUGACGAGACCUCAGGUCAGGCGGGGCUACCCGCUGAAUUUAAGCAUAUCAAUAAGCGGAGGA
This 395-nucleotide unclassified non-coding RNA is filed under the name soil metagenome. RNAcentral's name for it is "partial contains 5.8S ribosomal RNA, internal transcribed spacer 2, and large subunit ribosomal RNA". The stretch from base 1 to 122 matches the Rfam family "5.8S ribosomal RNA", at positions 35 to 154 of the family's 154-position model. The record is from RNAcentral.